UACGUAGGGUGCGAGCGUUGUCCGGAAUUACUGGGCGUAAAGCGUGCGCAGGCGGUUUUGUAAGUCUGAUGUGAAAUCCCCGGGCUCAACCUGGGAAUUGCAUUGGAGACUGCAAGGCUAGAAUCUGGCAGAGGGGGGUAGAAUUCCACGUGUAGCAGUGAAAUGCGUAGAGAUGUGGAGGAACACCGAUGGCGAAGGCAGCCCCCUGGGUCAAGAUUGACGCUCAUGCACGAAAGCGUGGGGAGCAAACAGG
Molecule: ribosomal RNA, 253 nt
Filed under: uncultured bacterium
Lineage: Bacteria
Description: partial 16S ribosomal RNA
Rfam family: Bacterial small subunit ribosomal RNA
Source: RNAcentral